This is a non-coding RNA of Pelobates cultripes (western spadefoot toad), 680 nucleotides long. The record is from the annotation of a GenBank genome assembly. NCBI's taxonomy places the organism in Eukaryota, Metazoa, Chordata, Amphibia, Anura, Pelobatidae.
AGGAGACUUCCCCCAAGACCAGUUCUGAUAACACCAGUGUUUAGUCCUGAGUGCAUGGAAAUGGCUGAUUUGUAUAGCUUGUUUAAUAAUUAUGUUUUAAUCCAAUCAUGGUCUUAUUCACUAAACAUUAAAUUGUGGAGAAUUACAAAAAAAAAUAAAAAAAAAAUUUUAGGCAAAAGAAAAUUAAUGCAGAUUUUAAUAAAAUCUCCAGCUUAAUUGCACCCAGAGAGUGGCUAUUCUGCAUUAUAUUCUGCCAUUGAUUUUGUUUUUUAAUGUCACUAUAAUUCACUGUUUAGUAAAUAAGCCCCUCAUAAUGCUCAGCUCUCCCAGCCUGUCCUCCCCUCCCAGCCAUUGCUGCGCUACUGCGCAUGGGGCGCUGCGAGCCACACUGUGCAUGUCCGAGUGACGCAUUGCAGGUACCCAGCAACCAAUCAGAGGCCGGCUAGGACGACUCACACUACAACGCGUCGAAUUCCCGUGCACAUGCCCCCUAGCGAAAUAGUCCCCAGCUCCGCACCGCCAGACGUUGCCCAGCGCUCGGUUAAAGAGUCCCGCAGCCUGUACCGGUCACGCCGCUCGACACGAUGCGCGCCCGGGGUUUCCGAUGACAGAGAUAGCGGUAUUUUCUCCGGUGUUGCUAGGAGUGAGCGGAUGGAGGGAAGCCUCACCAUCCCUGUGUG